This 253-nucleotide ribosomal RNA is filed under the name uncultured bacterium. RNAcentral describes it as "partial 16S ribosomal RNA". It matches the Rfam family "Bacterial small subunit ribosomal RNA", at positions 524 to 776 of the family's 1533-position model. The record is from RNAcentral.
UACGGGGGGGGCAAGCGUUGUUCGGAAUUACUGGGCGUAAAGGGCGCGUAGGCGGUUCGAUAAGUCAGCUGUGAAAACCAUGGGCUUAACUCAUGGCCUGCAGUUGAGACUGUCGGGCUGGAGUGUGGGAGAGGAGAGUGGAAUUCCUGGUGUAGCGGUGAAAUGCGUAGAUAUCAGGAGGAACACCGGUGGCGAAGGCGGCUCUCUGGACCACAACUGACGCUGAGGCGCGAAAGCGUGGGGAGCAAACAGG